UUUAGUAAAACUGAAAGAAUUUCCGAGCCUUUGGAAACAGGUCUAAGAAUGAUAUUGAAAAUUGGUUUUCAGUUUAAAAGGAUUUGGUUUUGGUUUAAGAAGUUUUGAAAUCAGUUCGGAAUGUUUGGAUAUAUGAUUUGGUUUUAGUUUUUAAUAAAGUUAAGAAAAUGAGUUAGGUUAUUCACCCCUAAAAUCGUGAGACUCUGCUGAGGAAUUUUAUGGCCAAAUCCUGAUUUAGAAAUGAAUGAUUUUAAGUC
Molecule: non-coding RNA, 257 nt
Organism: Arachis ipaensis
Lineage: Eukaryota; Viridiplantae; Streptophyta; Magnoliopsida; Fabales; Fabaceae
Source: RefSeq, a predicted model, not a curated record